ACCAGACUCCUACGGGAGGCAGCAGUGGGGAAUAUUGGGCAAUGGGCGCAAGCCUGACCCAGCAACGCCGCGUGAAGGAAGAAGGCUUUCGGGUUGUAAACUUCUUUUCUCAGGGACGAAUAGAUGACGGUACCUGAGGAAUAAGCCACGGCUAACUACGUGCCAGCAGCCGCGGUAAUACGUAGGUGGCAAGCGUUAUCCGGAUUUACUGGGUGUAAAGGGCGUGUAGGCGGGGACGCAAGUCAGAUGUGAAAGCCACGGGCUCAACCUGUGGCCUGCAUUUGAAACUGUGUUUCUUGAGUACUGGAGAGGCAGACGGAAUUCCUAGUGUAGCGGUGAAAUGCGUAGAUAUUAGGAGGAACACCAGUGGCGAAGGCGGUCUGCUGGACAGCAACUGACGCUGAGGCGCGAAAGCGUGGGGAGCAAACAGGAUUAGAUACCCCAGUAAC
RNAcentral lists this ribosomal RNA (449 nucleotides) under uncultured bacterium. RNAcentral's name for it is "bacterial SSU rRNA". It matches the Rfam family "Bacterial small subunit ribosomal RNA", at positions 330 to 794 of the family's 1533-position model. The record is from RNAcentral.